GAUCAUUCUACAAUGUAGGAAAUCUUCUACACUAUGUCAGGACCCUUCUCCACUAUGUCAGGACCCUUUUACACUAUGUCAGGAUCAUUCUACAAUUAGGAAAUCUUCUACACUAUGUCAGGACCCUUCUCCACUAUGUCAGUACCCUUCUCCACUAUGUCAGGACCCUUCUAAUCUAUGUCAGGACCCUUCUACACUAUGUCAGGACCCUUCUACACUUUAGGAAAUCUUCUACACUAGAAGAGAAAGAGAAAGAGGAAACAGAGAGGAGGAAAGAGAGAGAGAACGAGAGGAGGAGAGAGAGAGAGAGCGAGAGAGAGAGAAAGAGAGAAAGAAACUGAGAGAGGAGGAGAGAGAGGUGAGGCAAUGAAGGAUAGAGGAGUGAGAGGAAGAUUGUGCCAGAACUCAGUGAGUGCAGCUAAAUCUCUCAGAGCUCAGUCAAUAAAACAGAGGGCUCUUAGAAAACAAACCCUUCUCCACUAUGUCAGGACCCUUCUAUGCUAUGUCAGGACCCUUCUACACUAUGUCAGGACCCUUCUAAUCUAUGUCAGGACCCUUCUACACUAUGUCUGGACCCUUCUACGCUGUAGGAAACGUUCUACACUAUGUCAGGAGCCUUCUCUACUAUGUCAGGACCCUUCUCCACUAUGUCAGGACCCUUCUACGCUAUGUCAGGACCCUUCUACACUAUGUCAGGACCCUUCUACACUUUAGGAAAUCUUCUACACUAGAAGAGAAAGAGAAAGAGGAAACAGAGAGGAGGAAAGAGAGAGAGAACGAGAGGAGGAGAGAGAGAGCGAGAGAGAGAGAAAGAGAAAGAAACUGAGAGAGGAGGAGAGAGAGAGAGAGAGAGAGAGAGAGAGAGAGAGAGAUAGAAGGAAACAGAGAGAGGAGGAGAGAGAGAGAAAGAGAGAGAGAGAGGGGAGACAAGGAAGGAUAGAGGAGUGAGAGGAAGAUUGUGCCAGAACUCAGUGAGUGCAGCUAAAUCUCUCAGAGCUCAGUCAAUAAAACAGAGGGCUCUUAGAAAACAAACCCUUCUCCACUAUGUCAAGACCCUUCUACACUAUGUCAGGACCCUUCUACACUAUGUCAGGACCCUUUUACACUAUGUCAGGACACUUCUACACUAUGUCAGGACCCUUCUACACUAUGUCAGGACCCUUCUACACUAUGUCAGGACCCUUCUACACUAUGUCAGGACCCUUCUACACUAUGUCAGGACCCUUCUACACUGUCAUAACCCUUUUCCACUAUGUCAGGACCAUUUUACACUAUGUCAGGACCCUUCUACACUGUAGGAACCCUUCUACACUAUGUCAAGACACUUCUACACUAUGUCAGGUCAAUUCUACACUAUGUCAGGACCCUUCUACACUAUGUCAGGACCCUUUUACACUAUGUCAGGACCCUUCUAC
RNAcentral lists this long non-coding RNA (1415 nucleotides) under Salmo salar (Atlantic salmon). RNAcentral describes it as "lncRNA (ENSSSAG00000108576.1)". The record is from RNAcentral. Lineage: Eukaryota; Metazoa; Chordata; Actinopteri; Salmoniformes; Salmonidae.